CUGCACCUGUUUGCUGUCAUUUGUUGCCUGCUGUGUUUGGGUGUUGGUUAUUGCUCUAGCAAGGUGACCUUCAUUAAUGGAACAAAACAAAGAGGAGGGAGGUCACUGUCGUCUUGGUACACAAAACAACAACAACCAUUGCUGGAGGCAGGAAGAGUCAAGGACGCCCUAACUGCAGCCACAGAGAAAGGGCAAGGAAACGCACCCAAACACAAACAAGCUCAACUCCCGUCGGCAAGACCCUGAAGCAGUGCUGCUCCAACCUAAAUCUGACUGCACUGAAUCACUUUCUGUGGCUGGUGUUGGCCUCUUGUGACAGGAGCAGCUGGUGGCGACCACCGUUUGGGAAUCACUGUUUUAAGGUUGUGUCAGCUAAUGUCUCUCACAUGUGCAGCU
This is a long non-coding RNA of Plectropomus leopardus (leopard coralgrouper), 396 nucleotides long. RefSeq lists it as uncharacterized. The record is from RefSeq and is a predicted model, not a curated record. NCBI's taxonomy places the organism in Eukaryota, Metazoa, Chordata, Actinopteri, Perciformes, Serranidae.